UGCCGCUUGCGAGGGCGUAUGGUGGAUGCCUUGGCAGACAGUACCGAUGAAGGACGUUUGAGGAUGCGAUAAUCCUAGGGGAGCCUCCAACAUGGCUUUGAUCCUAGGGUCUCCGAAUGGGGGAACCCGCCGGCCGUCAUGGGCCGGCACCGCCUAUGGGCGGGGGGUACGCAGGGAAGUGAAACAUCUCAGUACCUGCAGGAAGGGAUACUCCGUGAGUAGUGGCGAGCGAAAGCGGAUCAGACCAAACCGGUUGCGCGUGAUACCCGUCGGGGGUUGCGUUGCCGGUGUUGUGGGAUCACGUGUCCCGGUUCCGACGGGCCGGGCGGGAGUCAUAAAACGGCUUGCCAGGGGAACAGGCUUGAAGGCCUGGCCGUAGAGGGUGCCAGCCCCGUACCUGGACGUGAGCCGUCUUCCGAUCGUGUCGUCCCAAGUAGCGCGGGCCUCGUGGAAUCCCGCGUGAAUCAGCCCAGACCGUUGGGUAAGUCUAAGCAUACCUGUCUGACCGAUAGCGUACCAGUACCGUGAGGGAAAGGUGAAAAGCACCCCGGGAGGGGAGUGAAACAGUUCCUGAAACCGUGCGCCCACAAACCGUCGGAGCCUCCUUGUGGGGUGACGGCGUGCCUAUCGAAAAAUGAGUCUGCGAGUCAGUGGCGGGUGGCGAGCAUAAGCCGUGUGGCGUAUGCGUAGCGAAAGCGAGUCUUAAAAGGCGUUUGUAGUCGCUUGUCCUGGACCCGAAGCGGGAUGAUCUAGCCCUGGGCAGGUUGAAGCGCGGGUAAGACCGCGUGGAGGACCGAACCCACCUGGGUUGAAAACCGGGGGGAUGACCUGGGGCUAGGGGUGAAAGGCCAAUCAAAUUCCGUGAUAGCUGGUUCUCUCCGAAAUGCAUUUAGGUGCAGCGUCGGUCGAUUGCGUCGCGGGGGUAGAGCUACCGGAUGCUUGCGGGCCCUUGUUGGGUACCAACAGCAGCCGAACUCCGAAUACCGUUGACGUGUAUUCCGGCAGUGAGUCGGCGGGGGAUAAGCUCCGUCGUCGAGAGGGAGACAGCCCAGACCGUCGUCUAAGGUCCCGAAGCGUGUGCUAAGUGGGAAAGGAUGUGGAGUCGCAUAGACAGCCAGGAGGUUGGCUCAGAAGCAGCCAUCCUUGAAAGAGUGCGUAACAGCUCACUGGUCUAGUGGUUCCGCGCCGACAAUGUAGCGGGGCUCAAGCACACCACCGAAGACGCGGCAGCAAUCUUCAUGGUUGCUGGGUAGGAGAGCGUCCUGCGAGGGGCGAAGCGGCCGGGUAAUCGUGCCGUGGACUUCGUGGGAGUGAGAAUGCAGACAUGAGUAGCGAGAGACGGGUGAGGAUCCCGUCCGCUGGAUGACCAAGGGUUCCGGGGCCACGUUCGUCGUCCCCGGGUGAGUCGGGUCCUAAGGCGAGGCCGACAGGCGUAGUCGAAUGGAUGAACGGGUGGAUAUUCCCGUACCGACCAUGGACCGGCAAAACCGAGACGGUGAGUACUAACCUCCGCCUCGUGGUGGUUCCUUCCUUCGGGUUGGUGUCGCCGCGUGGUGUUGGGACCGUAGCCGCAGUAGGUCAGCGCAGGGGUGACACGGAAUGGGAGCCGGCCGCGGAGGUGGUUUUCCGUGGUCAAGCACGCAGCCAGUCAUGUAGGCAAAUCCGCAUGGCGCGCAUGGCGAGGUGUGAUGAUGGGAGCCGUUAUGGCUCGAUAUCCGGUUGUCCAGGCCGUCGAGAAAAGCCUCGGCGUGAGGGCCAUGGCCGCCCGUACCCCAAACCGACACUGGUGGUCAGGUAGAGAAUACCAAGGCGAUCGAGCGAAUCCUGGUCAAGGAACUCGGCAAAUCACUCCCGUGCCUUCGGUAUAAGGGAGACCCGCUGGGGUGAACCGGCUAGCCCGGGGAGCUUUGGUGGGUGGCACAGACCAGGGGGUAGCGACUGUUUACCAAAAACACAGGUGCAUGCGAAGGCGAAAGCCGCUGUAUAUGCACUGACGCCUGCCCGGUGCCGGAAGGUUAAGAGGAUCCGUCAAUCCCUUCGGGGACGAAGCGGUGAAUUCAAGCCCCGGUAAACGGCGGUGGUAACUAUAACCAUCCUAAGGUAGCGAAAUUCCUUGUCGGGUAAGUUCCGACCUGCACGAAUGGCGUAA
This 2149-nucleotide ribosomal RNA is filed under the name human gut metagenome. RNAcentral's name for it is "bacterial LSU rRNA". It matches the Rfam family "Bacterial large subunit ribosomal RNA", at positions 1 to 2004 of the family's 2925-position model. The record is from RNAcentral.